Pantherophis guttatus is the source of this 671-nucleotide long non-coding RNA. RefSeq lists it as uncharacterized. The record is from RefSeq and is a predicted model, not a curated record. NCBI's taxonomy places the organism in Eukaryota, Metazoa, Chordata, Lepidosauria, Squamata, Colubridae.
CCUUAAAGUUGCUGUCCUGACCUCGGCUUUUCUCCAAGUAUGGACAGAGGAAGCCGCUGAACUUGCAGAAGGAGUGGCCAAUCAGGAACUUCUGUGAUGCUUGGAAGCAGCAGAUGGACACAAAUCUUGCUACCUGGUAAAUAGAAACAUCCUGUCCCAAUCUGAAGGCAAGAUUGAGACUUCAAAACUCAUAGUGCUUGUUAGACCUCUCCUGUGUGGAUUUCUAUAUUCUCCCAUCCAAUUUAGAAAAUUGUGAGUGCUUGGCAUGAGAGGCAUCCUCUUCGGAUUCUCCAAUCUUCUUAGCAAGUGGAAGAAAACAUCUGGCUAGAGAUUUCAAAUAUUAAAAACAUUGCUUUGGAAGUAAACUGUAAUCAGGAAAUCUGGAUGAUUUUUAUCCAUCCCAUCCUGUAAUGAGUAAAGAGGAUGGCCUUGAAGAGCAGAGAGAAGAUCCAUUACUAAGGCAAUGAUUAAAUAAACAAGACUUGAGCCUGGGCCAAGAAGGUAGUUUAGACAAAAGAGGGAGAAAAGAUGCAGUUCCGUCCAAAGGGAGAAGUCAAGAAGAUGGUUAAAAAAGAAAGAAAAACUAAGGGGAUGCACAAAGGACAGCAAUGGACUGUGCAGGAGCCAUCGCCUCAUCACUGAUCCAGAAUAAAAUUUCCACAAGAUCAAAA